GCGACCUUCUUCUUUUCGUCGACAAAGAAACUCCCACCUUUAAACAGAAAGUGAAAUCCGGUGAGUUCUUUCAUAUCAACCGAUAGGAACAACUUGUUCCACGACACAGCAUGGGGCUCAAUCUUGCUACUAAUCCAUAUCUUCACGGUAAAUGCAGGUGCACCAUAUUGUUGAAAUAGAACCGCAAGAUGCUCUUCUCUAACACUAGAUACAGUCACAGCAUCUCCAUAAAAAGCAUGAAAAGGCAGAGGAAGACGCGGUCCAAAUCUCUCCAUUGUAAAAUCAAAACAUAGUAAGAAAUCAGGGAUAUCUGAUAUAUCUCCUCCCACUUCUCCUUGUGCUGAAGUUGGAAUCUUCUCUUGAGCAAACCAGUAAGUGUUGCCCAUAAGAGACACACCACGCUGAUGAUACUCUAUAUCCCAGUCCGGAUUGACAUCAACAACCUUCCAAGAAUCAGAGUUUAAAUCGUAAAUUUCAAAUUCACGAAGCUUCACUUUUAUAGUGUAGUCGUAAUCAUCUAGAAAUCUCAAGACUUACCAAGCGAGUACUUGUCAUUCUUCUCGUAUCCUAGAGCGUACCGGUCAAACAAUUUGUGGUAAGAAUUCAUGGGUUUGAUCCACCUGGUUUGCCCCGAACAAGGGUUCCAAACAACAAGACUAGAUCUAUCUUUGGUGACGCAUAACAGUAAACCGUCGCAGUGAAAGAUUUUAGAUAUCUCUACACGAUCAGCAUCCUCUAGGCCAAUAAGGUUACCUAUACGCUCUAUAGAUGGCGUGUAGAGAUUGACGCUAAAUAAACAAACCCUAUACUGAAUCAUCAUGACCACCUGAAACUGCUCUCUGUGAUAAUUCUUUGCUGCUGCUUUUGCUUUACCGACGUGCUUCAUUGUAAAGCUCCGGUUUUGCAUGUAGAUCGCACUCCUCUCAGUGAUGUCACCGGAAGCCUAGAGAGCACCUCCUCCGCCAAAUCCCUUGGAAGAUUGGAUAUCAUCGUGGUCCUUGUGUUUCAAGAAACCCUUUAGGUCUUGUUCUGAUUUCUUCCGGAUAUAUGAGAAGGGUUUUUUUUCCUCAUGAUCACAUAAUAGGCACUUCAUGAUCUCAUCCUAUUCCACCGGAGUGAAACAGUUUGCGAAGAUAAAGGAGAACGAGUAAACACUAGCUAGCAGUUACCUAUUUUAAGAUCAGAAAAGAGUAUUUGUGGUGGUGUCAUUGAUCUUAGAUUUAUAUAUUUAUUGUGAUAAAGUCUCAAAGUAAGAACAUAAUCCAGUAGCCUUUUUGGUCAAGACUCGAGAACCACAAUGAAAGGCAAAUUUUUCGUUAACGACCAGAAGAUUAACACAUUUGCUUAUGCAUUAUGCAGUAGCUUUUACUUAAUUUUAGUAGUAUAAUAGUAUCAAAUUUCGUGUUUUCAAAAGAAGAUUUUAAAUAACAUAGAAAUAGCCCCAUUGUUUUCAAUUUCAACUAAUUAGCAAUGCUAAAAUAUAAUGUAGACUUUGAUCACUUGGGUAUUUGGAUACGAUAUCCGUUAACUAAAACUGAAAGAUGAACAGAGUAAAGAAAACAGAGGCCAUAUUGAGAAACCAACCAUUGUCGAGAUACAAAACACGAGAAAUACAAGUUGAUAGAUUAGGGUGGUGCAGCUUGCUUGAUUUGCACUGAGCUUGGCACAUACGAGCACACAAGUGGCCAACAACGUGCCUCUGUAGACUCGCCAAGAUCCACUUUUUUGAAGUAUCCUUUCUUUCCAAUGAUAUAAGCUAUGUUGCGAGUGGGAAAAGAUUUGCCUCUGUCUUUAUCAAGAAUCACUGCGACCUUCUUCUUUUCGUCGACGAAGAAACUCCCACCUGUAACCAGAAACUGAGAACCCAAACCGGUGUGUGGUUUCAUAUCAAACUUUAAGAACAACUUGUUCCAAGAGACCGCAUCGGGCUCAAUCUUGCUACUAAUCCAUAUUUUCACGGUAGAUGCAGGUGCACCACAUUGUUGAAAAAGAACCGCAAGAUGCUCUUCUCUGACACUAGAUAGAGUCACAGUAUCUCCAUAAAUAGCGUGAAAAGGCAGACGCAGACGAGGUCCAAAUUUCUCAGUUGUAAAAUUAAAACAUAGUAAGAAAUCAGGG
RNAcentral lists this long non-coding RNA (2118 nucleotides) under Capsella rubella. Its description in RNAcentral is "long non-coding RNA (CRUB_LNC003657)". Lineage: Eukaryota; Viridiplantae; Streptophyta; Magnoliopsida; Brassicales; Brassicaceae. The record is from RNAcentral.